GUGGUCGCGGGAGAGAUACGGGGGAAGAGGGGGAGGGGGAGAGAGGCUCGACGUUAACACAAUAUCUGAGGGAUAUUACAGAGACUAAAGUCUGGCUUUUAUAUCAGAAAAAACAUAUGCUAAAUGGAUCUGAAUUAAACGCGUUUCAUCCAUGUUCUAGGAAGGUUGGCGUCCGGCAGAACGACCGAAUCAGCACCAUGGACAGCGACCGUAGUUUGGAAAGGAUUUAAGUUCACCAGCUCCCUCUUCAGGAUGGCCAGUCAGCGCUAAGCUAAGUAGUCGGGUGUAGCAGGCUUGACUGGAG
This 304-nucleotide long non-coding RNA is filed under the name Oncorhynchus kisutch (coho salmon). Its description in RNAcentral is "lncRNA (ENSOKIG00005014318.1)". The record is from RNAcentral. Lineage: Eukaryota; Metazoa; Chordata; Actinopteri; Salmoniformes; Salmonidae.